UUCGUGGUCAAGCUACUAAGAGCGAACGGUGGAUGCCUUGGCGCCGGGAAGCGAUGAAGGACGUGGCAAGCUGCGAUAAGCCUCGGGGAGCCGCAAGCAGGCACCGAUCCGAGGAUGUCCGAAUGGGGGAACCUGGGUGGGGUAAUGCCCACUCGUCCGUGACUGAAUCCAUAGGUCACGGCACGCGAACCGGGGGAACUGAAACAUCUCAGUACCUCGAGGGAAAAGAAAGCAACCGCGAUUGCCCGAGUAGCGGCGAGCGAAAGGGCACCAGCCUAAACCAGGUCCGAGCGAUCGGGCCUGGGGUUGCGGGGCGCUCACGGGGGCAACCCGGAGAGUUACCAAAUCAGGCGAUAGUCGAAGGCUCUGGAAAGAGCCGCCACAGACGGUGAUAGCCCGGUAGACGAAAUCGCACUGAUCUCUCUGGUGAGCGUUCCCAAGUACUACGGGACACGUGCAACCCCGUAGGAAUCUGGGGGGACCACCCUCCAAGGCUAAAUAUUCCCCGGCGACCGAUAGUGAACCAGUACCGUGAGGGAAAGGCGAAAAGAACCCCGGUGAGGGGAGUGAAAAAGAACCUGAAACCGUUUGCUUACAAGCGGCAGGAGGGCUAUGCCGUCGCAAGACGGAAGGCCUGACUGCGUGCCUUUUGCAUAAUGAGCCGGCGAGUUACUGGUACGUGGCGAGGUUAAGCGUCGAAGGCGCGGAGCCGUAGCGAAAGCGAGUCCUAAUAGGGCGACAAGUCGCGUGCCGUAGACCCGAAGCCAAGUGAUCUACCCCUGGCCAGGGUGAAGCCGCUCUAAACAGCGGUGGAGGCCCGAACCGGUAUUGGUUGAAAACAGUUCGGAUGAGCUGGGGGUCGGAGCGAAAGACUAAUCAAACUUGGAGAUAGCUGGUUCUCCCCGAAAUAGCUUUAGGGCUAGCCUCGCGCGUGACGUGUGGUGGUAGAGCUCUGAAUGGGCUAGGGGUCCUACCAGAUUACCAACCCCAAUCAAACUCCAAAUGCCAUACGUUGAAGCGCGGGAGUCAGACGACGCGGGAUAAGCUGCGUGGUCGAGAGGGAAACAACCCAGAUCGUCAGCU
RNAcentral lists this ribosomal RNA (1083 nucleotides) under Candidatus Rokuibacteriota bacterium. Its description in RNAcentral is "bacterial LSU rRNA". It matches the Rfam family "Bacterial large subunit ribosomal RNA", at positions 1 to 1040 of the family's 2925-position model. Lineage: Bacteria; Candidatus Rokuibacteriota. The record is from RNAcentral.